CCUACGGGUGGCAGCAGUGGGGAAUAUUGCACAAUGGGGGAAACCCUGAUGCAGCGACGCCGCGUGAGUGAAGAAGUAUUUAGGUAUGUAAAGCCCUAUCAGCAGGGAAGAAAAUGACGGUAACUGAUUAAUAAGCACCGGCUAACUACGUGCCAGCAGCCGCGGUAAUACGUAGGGGGCAAGCGUUAUCCGGAUUUACUGGGUGUAAAGGGAGCGUAGGCGGCAGAACAAGUCUGGAGUGAAAUGCGGGGGCUUAACCCCGGAACUGCAUUGGAAACUGUUCAGCUAGAGUGCGGGAGAGGUAAGUGGAAUUCUUGGUGUAGCGGUGAAAUGCGUAGAGAUUAGGAGGAACACCAGUGGCGAAGGCGGCUUACUGGACUGUAACUGACGUUGAGGCUCGAAAGCGUGGGGAGCAAACAGGAUUAGAUACCCUAGUAGUC
This 440-nucleotide ribosomal RNA is filed under the name uncultured bacterium. RNAcentral's name for it is "partial 16S ribosomal RNA". It matches the Rfam family "Bacterial small subunit ribosomal RNA", at positions 338 to 795 of the family's 1533-position model. The record is from RNAcentral.